UAGACCCGAAGCGGAGUGAUCUAGCCAUGGGCAGGUUGAAGCGGCUGUAAGAGGUCGUGGAGGACCGAACCCACCAGGGUUGAAAACCUGGGGGAUGACCUGUGGUUAGGGGUGAAAGGCCAAUCAAACUCCGUGAUAGCUGGUUCUCCCCGAAAUGCAUUUAGGUGCAGCGUCGUGUGUUUCUUGCCGGAGGUAGAGCACUGGAUAGGCGAUGGGCCCUACCGGGUUACUGACCUUAGCCAAACUCCGAAUGCCGGUAAGUGAGAGCGCGGCAGUGAGACUGUGGGGGAUAAGCUCCAUGGUCGAGAGGGAAACAGCCCAGAGCAUCGACUAAGGCCCCUAAGCGUACGCUAAGUGGGAAAGGAUGUGGAGUCGCAGAGACAACCAGGAGGUUGGCUUAGAAGCAGCCACCCUUGAAAGAGUGCGUAAUAGCUCACUGGUCUAGUGAUUCCGCGCCGACAAUGUAGCGGGGCUCAAGCGUACCGCCGAAGUCGUGUCAUUGCAGCAAUACUCCCAACGGAGGCUGUGAUGGGUAGGGGAGCGUCGUGUG
RNAcentral lists this ribosomal RNA (550 nucleotides) under Streptomyces albidoflavus. RNAcentral describes it as "partial 23S ribosomal RNA". It matches the Rfam family "Bacterial large subunit ribosomal RNA", at positions 710 to 1245 of the family's 2925-position model. The record is from RNAcentral. Lineage: Bacteria; Bacillati; Actinomycetota; Actinomycetes; Kitasatosporales; Streptomycetaceae.